Molecule: ribosomal RNA, 472 nt
Filed under: uncultured bacterium
Lineage: Bacteria
Description: bacterial SSU rRNA
Rfam family: Archaeal small subunit ribosomal RNA
Source: RNAcentral
UAAUACUUGCAGCCCGAGUGGUGGUCGAUAUUAUUGAGCCUAAAGCGUCCGUAGCCGAUCUAGUAAACCCUUGGGUAAAUCGGGCAGCUCAACCGUCCGAAUUCCGAGGGGACUGCUAGAUUUGGGACCGGGAGAGGUCAGAGGUACUCCGGGGGUAGGGGCUAAAUGCGCGAUGGGCCGUAUUUACGGUUACCCAUCAUGCUUAGCAUUCCUGUAAUCCUCGGGGGACCACCAGUGGCGAAGGCGUCUGACUAGAACGGAUCCGACGGUAAGGGACGUAACCCUGGGGCGCGAACCGGAUUAGAUACCCGGGUAGUCCAGGGCGUAAACGCUGCAGGCUUGGUGUUGGGGGUCCUACGGGGGCGCCCAGUGCCGGAGUGAAGAUGUUAAGCCUGCCGCUUGGGGAGUACGUCCGCAAGGAUGAAACUUAAAGGAAUUGGCGGGAGAGCACAGCAACGGGAGGAGCGUGCGG